UUUAUAUAACAACGGAGUGAGCCAAAAACGGCUCAGCAAGUGACAAAGCAUAUUCAGAACAAAAGGAACGGUUUCAAACGAGUAAGGUAUCAUAAUGCAAGGCAGAAUACAAGAAUUCUCAAGGAUACCAUCUCAAUAGAUACCAAAUCAUACGUAUCAUGUCAUUCAAAACAUAUUUGAUCCAUAAGGAAUGGGGCAUAGAGUAAUUGGAACAUAUCAAUGGCAGAUAGGACAUUUCAGAAACAUAUCAGUUCAUAGCAAAUGGAGCACAGAGUAAUUGGAACAAAUCAAUGGCAGAUAGGACAUUUCAGAACAUAUCAGUUCAUAGCAAAUGGAGCACAAAGUGAUUGGAGCAUAUCAAUGGCAGAUAGGACAUUUCAGAACAUAUCAGUUCAUAGCAAAUGGAGCACAGAGUAAUUGGAGCAUAUCAAUGGCAUAUGAAAUGUUCCGGAGCAUAUCAACGGCAUAUGGAACAUUACGAAGCAAACUCAACAGUGAAGGAAGCAUUUCAGAGCAUAUCAAACUCAUAUGUCGUACAGAAGCUCAAACGUCGUCUUUGACGUUGCAAACAUAUCAAUCUUAUCCAAAGCAUGUACAGAAACACAUAACCAAAGCUCUGGAUAUCAUAUCAAACAUACAGAAGGUGUAGUGGGAUCUCAGUCAGAAUGUGAUUCAUCCAUUUCUGAAUGACCACCUGACAAAAGUCUCCCACGUCUGGGAGCUCCAUCCACCCACGUCUAGGUGAAGUCAGAGGGGGCCGGCAGAGCAUCGCAGGCUCUAUGCAUAACUCCCUUUACCAUUUCUGGCAAAGGUUCACAACUCCCUUUACCAUUUCUGGCAAAGGUUCACAACUCCCUUUACCAUUUCUGGCAAAGGUUCACAAUAUCCCACACACCAGAGUACAAGAAGGCAGUUUCAACAAUAAGCAGCAUAUAACGGAAGCACACGCGGAACAACCAAACGUACAUGUGCCUUUUCAAAACAAUGAUGCAAGGAACAAAUCUCUCACAAAAGUAUUCAUUUUAGGAAAGAAUUGAAAGCAAGAGUGUACAGGGAUUCCAAGCAAUCAUAAUCAGCUCAAUUCCAAUAAGAAGGUUAGACAAAUUCAGAUAUCCAAAGGAAUGGAACUGGAAUAGGCACAUAUCAAAAGCAAAUGCGGAACAAUAGGAUAUACAUGUGCCUAUAUGAGUCAAUACGAUAUAGCAUAAACGUUACACAACAGUUUUCAAGAAUGCAAUAAUUUUAAGGACAAGAGCAUACAAGAAUUCAAAGCAGUAAUAUAAAGCUCAAUUGAAUGAGAAAGCUAAAGGAUAUCAAUUUCCAAAGGAAUGAAACCAGAGUAUGAGAAAUCGACCAAAGCUCGAUUUCUGGCAGAAUACAGAAGGCACAUUGAACAAAUGAUUUCAAACUAUCAAUCGUGCUCCAAUUUACUCAGAAAUAAUCAUUGGAUAAUACUUUCAGAUAAGAUAGGCUUCAUAUGAAUUGAACUGUCCAACAGAGAGAGUUACAAAUAAUUUGGUAAGCAAGUGUCGUAUAACAAAAUCUCUGUUGGCAGAAUUCAUAAUGUCAGAUUCAACAGAUAACUGGACAGGUGUUUGGAUUCCAAAUCUUUCAAUCCAUAUAUCAAGGAAAGGUCUACGAGUCUAGUUUCCAAUGAAAUCAGUUUUGAACAAAUCAGAGUUUCCACAAAGACUUAUAGGCAGCUCGGUAUCAAAAGGUCAGAAUCUCAGAAGUUGCACAGAUUCGAAUCGUUACGUCUAAACAGGAGAUAUAACAAAUGCAAGGCUAGAAUGAUUCAAAGUUCCUCAUAUUCAAAGCAAAUGUAGAGAUAAAAAUGGCAGUGAGAAACAAAUCAGGAUACUUGCAAGAGAAAAGAUUAGAAAGCUUGCAAUAGAAAAGGUUAGAACACUUGCAAUAAGACAUAUCAGAGCAAUUAUAGGAGAAACGAUCAGGGAACUUGCAAUAGAAAGGAUCGAAACAAGCGGGAAACUUGCCUUUCAAAUAUUUUGAUCUGAAUAUCCAAGGAAGGUGCCAAUCCAAUCUUUCUACUUUUCCUCCGUGUCCUCUCUCUGUUUCGUUUUGUGCUCCCGUUUUCUUCCUUUCUUCGUAACUACAUCACGUGUCGAACAUCGAGGCACAGUCACCUGCUCUCUCUUACUCUCAUUCCUUCUUUUUCUUUCCCAAACACAGCUGCCACAGCCGCCGUCGCUGCCGCUGCCACAAUCGCAGCCACGACCGCAACUGCGAUCACAACCGCAGCCCCUUCCACUGCACUAUUUCCUUCUUCCCUUCUCUCGUUCCUACUCUUUCUCUUUCCCAAAAGCAGCUACUGCAGCUACUGCAGCCACCACCGCUGCCGCAGCUACCGCAGCCAACGUCGCAGCCGCAGCCGGAGUCGCAGCCACGGCCGCAGCCACCACACUCGCAGCCUCUUCUUCCUCCCCUGCUCAUCUUCCUCUCCUUCUUUUCUUCCAACUGCAGCUGCCAUCGCCGCAGCCGUAGCCCCUUCUCUUCUUCCUCUCCUUCCCUUCUUCCUUUCUCUUCUUCUUCCUUUCCUUCUCUUCUUUCCCAGCUGCAUGCUGCAGUCGCAGCCUCAGCCACGGCCACAGCCUUUUCUUCCUCCCCUGCUCAUCUUCCUCUCCUUCUUCU
Molecule: long non-coding RNA, 2649 nt
Organism: Musa acuminata AAA Group (dessert banana)
Lineage: Eukaryota; Viridiplantae; Streptophyta; Magnoliopsida; Zingiberales; Musaceae
Exons: 2
Source: RefSeq, a predicted model, not a curated record